AGGGUCAGAGCCUUUCUCAAACAGUGCAGUUGCAAAACGCCCCUUCCUGGGCUUCCGGCUUGAUGUUGGGGCACUGACAGCUGCAUGUGGCUGAGGCUGACACCCCUGGUCUGCCCCCACCUCCUGCCCAGCCAAGCGGGAGCCGGCCUUGCCGCAUCCCUCCCUCAGCCCUGGGCUGCCUGUGCCAGGUGGGGCUAGACCUCCUGGCUCACCCCCAAGACUCAGCCUCAGGCCAGUUCUAUCCCCUUCCAGAACCACUCCAGACCAGCACCCAGAUCGUGGAACGAGGCUGUUCCCUCUCCAGGAGCCAGGGGCAGGGGGACAGGGAACAGGAGGUGGGGAAAGCUACCAAAGGGAGGGGCACUGGCACCUUCCCCAUCCCCUGGGCACACACAUGGCUGGGAGAGAGUGGCUGUGCAUCUUAGACCCAACAGAGUGGGACCCAGGGAUGGGCCGGAGGGAGCUGGGCCCUCUCUCCCUAGCCCCUCCACAGAGACAUUAAGAUUGUUUUUGUGGGGGGACAGGGGGAUGAGCCCACACGCCUGGGGGUGCCCAUCCACCCUGGUGAGGGCACACAGUGUGGAUCUGAUGGAAUAAAGGGUAGGGGUGGGGGUAACAGGGCAAGUCACAUAGGAAGGGGCCCCUUUUGACCAGGGUGGGUGUGGGACAUGGGGGGUCCCUGUGGGGAGGGAAGGGGAUAUACGGAGUGGGGAGGAGAGAUGGGGGGCCUUGCGACAGAAGCAGGGGAGCGGUGACUGCAAGCUGCUGGGUGCACGGGGGUGGGGCGGGCAGGAGCGGGAGGGAGGCCUUCCAAACCCGGAGGGGACUCGGCCCACAGGGACGACUGGAGUGAGGUUUACACCAGAGGGGCAACAGGGGCCGAGGGGUCCCUUCCUAAGGAGACCACUUGAGGGCUGCUGAACGCCGGAGCCUUACAACUGUUAAACUCAGGCAGAGCUCGGGAAAUGCUGCCCGGAUGGGUGACUGAUGGAGAGGGGCUACCACUCUUCCAGCUAAACUCCGCUCUGGUUGGGACCCAGCAAUUAUUUUCCAUAGCGAAGUGUUAAUAAAAUAUCUGUUACUCCCAACACAACCUCCUGGGGGAAGGGACCUGUCUGUCUGCUUCAACUUUGGAUCCUCAGUGCCCACAUCAGGAUACCUGGCCUGAGAGCAUCCGGUGACCCAGUUUUAGGUCUCAAGGUCACUGCCAAGAAAGAGAAGCUGCUAAAGUGACACCUCUGUGCACCCACAUGACUUAACACAAAAGUUAACAGGAGCUCUUCAAAAACAAGCCUCUCGAGUGUCUGUCUCCUGUUUUCCCUGAGGACAGCAUCAGUGGCAUCAGAUAGGGGUUGGGGCUGGGUGACCUGCUGGUCCUCAGCCAUCACUGUGGCCCAGAGGUCAUUUAAGCAGCUCUCUGCUUAGCAGACAGGCAGAGGGAAUAGAUGGAAGGUACAGGUAAACACUGCAUGUGGCCACCGCGAGGAUACCCCGGAGCCUGGGAAACAGACAGGGACGUCGUAAAACCAACACAUAAUGGACCAGUGCAGAGACAGGCAAAACCAGUCAGAAGAAAUAGGAUGGUGCCUAGCCCAGGGACACCUGACUUAAGAGAGGGUCCUGCCGGUAUUACCCUGGAGGAAGGAAUGCUGCACAGAGGCCGAGAGGAAUUUGAACAGACUGGCCUUGCUGGGUUUUUAUCUCUUUUUGUCCAAUCCCAUUUUGACACAGUUGUCCAUGCUCCAAUCAUGCUUAUCCAAUGAAGUUUCCAUAACAGGCCUGAGAGGACAGGGUUCAGGAGCUUCCGGACAGCUGAGCAGGUGGAGGUUCCUGGAGGGUGGUGUGCCAGGGAGGGUGUGGAAGCUCUGCCCCUUCCCCCAUACCUUGUCCUAUGCAUUCCUUUAUCUGCAUCCUUCAUUUUAUUUUAUUUUUUUUUGAGACGGAGUCUUGCUCUUGUCGUCCAGGCUGGAAUGCAGUGGUGCGCGA
Molecule: long non-coding RNA, 1986 nt
Filed under: Homo sapiens (human)
Lineage: Eukaryota; Metazoa; Chordata; Mammalia; Primates; Hominidae
Description: HSALNT0290404
Source: RNAcentral